CCCAUGAAGCUUCCAUGAAAACGAGAUAUGCAUUCUCAUGUAUAUGUGCAUUGCACAUCUGUUUACGUGAAUUAUUAUACAAUAUUAUAAUUCUCUAAUAUCUAGUUCUGCAAUUUGUGAAUUAAUAAAUUGACAUAAAUCCAUCGUUGUUUUACAGAAAAAUGAAUGCAAAUCUAAUUUUUAGAUCAGUGUAUCAAACAAUUAAUUCCAUGGUCCCAAAAAUUUUGACGAUUCCAACUACACAGAAUGUAUUGGCUCACAAAUUUCACUAUAUGUGCAGCAGAGAGAAAUCAAAUUCUCUGAGCGAUUUGUCAAAUCACAGUACACGUUUUCUGCAACCUGUACUGCCCAUGUAUAAUUCAGUAUGUGGUCUAAAAGUAAAGGGCCGCUUACAGUUACGUUGCAAGGACUGUUAUUAUUACUGUAAGAAUGAAAGAUGGUAUGUCCUGUGCAAUACCCAUCCUAGACAUAAACAAGUGCAGAUGAAAAAGAGAGAGUACAAAACGUGGCUACUAACAUGGGCUUCUCAGAGUAAAGUGCGAGGCUGGUAAACAGAUAUGUAGAUUUUAUCACGAAAAUGAAUUACUAAUAUGUAUAGCAAAUAAAAUAUGAACAUUUUUAAAUG
This is an RNA transcript of Solenopsis invicta (red fire ant), 625 nucleotides long. RefSeq lists it as uncharacterized. The record is from RefSeq and is a predicted model, not a curated record. The transcript is spliced from 2 exons. Lineage: Eukaryota; Metazoa; Arthropoda; Insecta; Hymenoptera; Formicidae.